Molecule: small nuclear RNA, 104 nt
Organism: Artibeus jamaicensis (Jamaican fruit-eating bat)
Lineage: Eukaryota; Metazoa; Chordata; Mammalia; Chiroptera; Phyllostomidae
Source: RefSeq, a predicted model, not a curated record
GUGCUCACUUCAACAGCACAUAAACUAAAAUAGGAACAAUACAGAGAUCAGUGUAGCCCCUGCAAAAGGAUGAUGUGCAAAUUCGUGAAGCGUUCCAUAUUUUU